UGGUGACAAUGGCAGUAGCUGCAGU
RNAcentral lists this unclassified non-coding RNA (25 nucleotides) under Mus musculus (house mouse). Its description in RNAcentral is "oocyte_clustered_small_RNA9180". Lineage: Eukaryota; Metazoa; Chordata; Mammalia; Rodentia; Muridae. The record is from RNAcentral.